Molecule: long non-coding RNA, 295 nt
Organism: Apis mellifera (honey bee)
Lineage: Eukaryota; Metazoa; Arthropoda; Insecta; Hymenoptera; Apidae
Exons: 2
Source: RefSeq, a predicted model, not a curated record
CUAGGAUCACUACUACGGGUACUAAAUUUACGAACACGUAUAAUCUAUUUGCAAACAUCUAAAAGCAAAGCAAUUUUAAAAAAAUUUUUUACAUUUAGUAAAAUUCGAAGACUACACGAUAGGAAUAAAGAAAUAUAUAAAGAACUUAUCAAGAAUGAUGCCCCAUGCUGCUGUCGCGUACCAGUCGCCGAGUAACGACCUAUUUUUAGAUAUCAUUCGUGUAAAUAUAAAUCUCGUACUAUAAAUCUUUUCAUAUUGAAGUCCUAGAAUAAAAGUUUCUUAAAUAUUCUAUGAA